Molecule: long non-coding RNA, 1013 nt
Organism: Oncorhynchus tshawytscha (Chinook salmon)
Lineage: Eukaryota; Metazoa; Chordata; Actinopteri; Salmoniformes; Salmonidae
Source: Ensembl
CCUGCGUGGUAUUACAGUGAGCCCGUAUAUACGAAAGUUGCAUUUGCCAUUUAUUACUUAGCUAAUAAAAAAUACAUAGUAUACAAUCGGUGACUCAUUGUUAUAUUUAUCCUGAUACCAGAUUCGAAUUUACUCUAACAAGAGUAGGACUCGGGUUCAGGAGAGUAGGACUCGGGUUCAGGAAGGCAGGACUCGGGUUCAGGAGAGCAGGACUCUUGAUCAGGAGAGCAGGACUCUUGAUCAGGAGAGCAGGAUUCGGGUUCAGGAGAGCAGGACUCGGGUUCAGGAGAGCAGGACUCUUGAUCAGGAGAGCAGGACUCGGGUUCAGGAGAGUAGGACUCUGGUUCAGGAGAGCAGGACUCGGGUUCAGGAGAGCAGGACUCGGGUUCAGGAGAGCGAUUUGAACUAUGAGGAUUUCGACUCAGCCGACAAAGAUUGCUUUCAAGAAGGAUUGGGUCCACUUUUAGAUCUAGUGGAGGAUGCAGAGGAUUUGGAUGAUGACGUUUGGGAGCCACCCCACUCCAAAUCAGAUUCCCCAAGACCCAGAGGGACUGCUUCAAAGACUAUCAAGACAUGCACAAGCUACGGUGAAAGGGAAAUCUAAUCAGCUACACCUGGGACGUAAAACGAACAGGAAUGCCAUUUGUAAAUAAUUCACCUUGUUUCUAUUUUUGCACCUUGAAGGACACAAUGUUUUGAUAAGGCAUUUUUAUAUAUAUUUGAAUGUAAAUCUGUUGCUUUUAUGUUGUUUUUGUAAACAGUUCAUUUGUAUGUGGGACCAAUACAUUGGAUAUGCCCAGGGUAAACAUUCAGGCACUGUGGAGAGGCUGAAAAAAACAACACUUGGAUAUCCCCUGUAUGUUCCCUUAACCAACAAUUCAGUUUAAGAAAAUAGAGUUAAGAAAAUAUUUACGAAAUAAACUAAAGUAAAUAUAAAUAACACAAAAUAGCAAUAAUGAGGCUAUAUACAGGGGUAACAGGUACCGAGUCAAUGUGUGUGUGUGGGGGGGGGG